GUUUAAAUAGUUUAAUAAAACAUUAGUCUUGUAAACUAAAAUUAAGAUUUAAAUCUUUUUAAACU
Molecule: transfer RNA, 65 nt
Filed under: Anopheles parvus
Lineage: Eukaryota; Metazoa; Arthropoda; Insecta; Diptera; Culicidae
Description: tRNA-Thr
Rfam family: tRNA
About the family: Transfer RNA (tRNA) molecules are approximately 80 nucleotides in length. Their secondary structure includes four short double-helical elements and three loops (D, anti-codon, and T loops). Further hydrogen bonds mediate the characteristic L-shaped molecular structure. tRNAs have two regions of fundamental functional importance: the anti-codon, which is responsible for specific mRNA codon recognition, and the 3' end, to which the tRNAs corresponding amino acid is attached (by aminoacyl-tRNA synthetases). tRNAs cope with the degeneracy of the genetic code in two manners: having more than one tRNA (with a specific anti-codon) for a particular amino acid; and 'wobble' base-pairing, i.e. permitting non-standard base-pairing at the 3rd anti-codon position.
Source: RNAcentral